Non-coding RNA from Delphinapterus leucas (beluga whale), 1130 nucleotides. The record is from RefSeq and is a predicted model, not a curated record. Lineage: Eukaryota; Metazoa; Chordata; Mammalia; Artiodactyla; Monodontidae.
UGCCCAGCUCCACUCCCACUCCCGCUUCCACAGGUCUACACAUUCUGGGACUCUGGCUGAGGGAUUUCUCUGUCUGCGGAAACUUGCUGGCCUACAGGCUGGGCAGACUUGCCGGAGCCAUUUAAAUCCACGGUGGGUAGGAAGUGUUAGAAAGAGGGAACGUCAGAGAAAAAGUACCUCCUUUAGGACCUCAUCGAGCCCAAAUCCAAGAGAAGAGCAGACCUUGGUAUUAGAUCGUUGGUCUUCAGGGACUCCCAGUUACUGCCUUAAGAUGUCAGUGUCUGUAUACGUUGCCUGGUUAGUAAACUUUGGAGGAAUUGAUGAACCACUGUGUCUGGGUUUUUCACUUCUUUGGCCUGAGUCCUGCCAGGUAAGCUCACUUAACCUUCCCGAGAAAUGUGGAGGGCAUGCAGGCCUGGGCGUGCCAUUGCUGGGACCCAGCCAGCCCCCAGAUUCUCUGGUUGCAGAGUGGCCUGGCCAGCUCACACAGGUAGUGUGCCCUUGUAUUCUUGGAAGAAGAAACAUCAGAGUAAAAGGGGAGGGGGAGGGAAGGCUAGACAGGAAUUUUUCCAGGCCCUUCUGCUUAGGAAUUAAAAGUUUGCUGGGAAACGGUUCUGAUGGCUUUAAAUGUUACAGAUGAUAUACUCCAGGGGGAACACAGUCCCCACGGGUGGCCCCUGGGAAGUAUUUAAUAUCACUGGCUAUUGUGUUUUUCUACAACAAAACUCUACAUCCCUUGAGAACAGAGGCUAAUUUUCACAGGUCUUUGUUAUCUCCCACAGGGCCUUUCAUACAUGUGCCCAAGAAUGUGUUGAUCUACUUUGAUCUCCUAUUGUGUAAGAAGAUUUCCUCCGGGAAAGAAGAAGCAGUGAAUUCAUGAAACUUGGCAAAGAUUUUGAUCUCAAUUUAUAGAUGGGAACACCUAUAAAAUGAAGAGCGUUGGGCCAGUCUGUGAGGCCAGUUCUAGCUCAAAAUCCUGGCAUCCUCUAAGAUGUGGAAGAGUGAGGUCAGAGGGAGGCGGCCGGCUGCUGGCAGCGCUGGGCAGCUGGGUGCUAGGGCCCAGGGCUCUUCAGAGACCAUGUCAGAAUUCCCGUUUUGCCAUCACCAGGAUGUACACCCAAAGGCACAUU